This 260-nucleotide long non-coding RNA is filed under the name Gossypium barbadense (sea-island cotton). RNAcentral's name for it is "long non-coding RNA (GBAR_LNC006345)". The record is from RNAcentral. Lineage: Eukaryota; Viridiplantae; Streptophyta; Magnoliopsida; Malvales; Malvaceae.
ACCACACAACAUGCUUUGAAAAAAUAGUUGGUUCGAAAACACUUACUUGUAUAGUCGUUUUGAUGGAUUUUAAUCUCCCAUUUUAGAAUAUUUAAACUAUUUGUACAAAACAUAAAUCAAGAAAUAAUAUUUUAUUUAGGCAUUUUUAAUGAUAUAUAUAACUUGUAUCAAGUUAGACCCACACCUAAUAGUAGAUCCUGUAACACCCCUCACCCGUAUCCAACUCCGGGACAGGGUUCGAGGCGUUACCAGACUUAAAC